RNAcentral lists this ribosomal RNA (269 nucleotides) under uncultured soil bacterium. Its description in RNAcentral is "partial 16S ribosomal RNA". It matches the Rfam family "Bacterial small subunit ribosomal RNA", at positions 26 to 281 of the family's 1533-position model. The record is from RNAcentral.
AGAAUGAACGCUGGCGGCGUGCUUAACACAUGCAAGUCGAGCGAGGCCAGGGGGGCGAACUCCCUGAGUCGAGCGGCGGACGGGUGAGUAACACGUGGGUAACCUACCCGGAAGUGGGAAUACCUCGGGGAAACUCGAGCUAAUACCGCAUAACAUCUCGAGGACGAAAGUUCUUGUGAUCAAAGCGGGGCCGCAAGGCCUCGUGCUACCGGAUGGGCCCGCGCCCGAUUAGCUAGUUGGCGAGGUAAUGGCUCACCAAGGCGACGAUC